Nycticebus coucang (slow loris) is the source of this 108-nucleotide small nuclear RNA. NCBI's taxonomy places the organism in Eukaryota, Metazoa, Chordata, Mammalia, Primates, Lorisidae. The record is from RefSeq and is a predicted model, not a curated record.
GCGCUCGCUUCAGCAGCACAUACACUGAAAAUUGGAACAACACACAGAAAAUUUGCAUGGCCCCUGUGCAAGGAUGACAUGUAAAUUUUUUUAAGUUAAAGAGUUCAA